UUUCGCAAUGCCCGAAAGGGUGACGAAGCGACGCCGCGUGCGGGAAGAAGGCCUUCGGGUUGUAAACCGCUGUCGGGAGUUAAGAAAUGUAAGAAUGUUAAUAGCGUUCUUACUUGACUAAGGCUCCGGAGGAAGCCACGGCUAACUCUGUGCCAGCAGCCGCGGUAAUACAGAGGCGGCAAGCGUUGUUCGGAAUUAUUGGGCGUAAAGAGCACGUAGGCGGUUCUGCAAGUCGGCUGUGAAAGCCUUCCGCUCAACGGAAGAACAGCAGUUGAUACUACAGGACUCGAGUGCGGGAGGGGAGAGUGGAACUUCUGGUGGAGCGGUGAAAUGCGUAGAUAUCAGAAGGAACGCCGGCGGCGAAAGCGACUCUCUGGCCCGUAACUGACGCUGAGUGUGCGAAAGCUAGGGGAGCAAACGGGAUUAGAUACCCCGGUAGUCCUAGCUGUAAACGAUGGGCACUAAGUAGAGGGGUUUUA
Molecule: ribosomal RNA, 479 nt
Filed under: uncultured bacterium
Lineage: Bacteria
Description: bacterial SSU rRNA
Rfam family: Bacterial small subunit ribosomal RNA
Source: RNAcentral